UGGAACAUCCAUCAAAGACUGACAACCUCUUAUAAGGGUGACCAGUGUGACCUCAUGACGCUUCUGU
Molecule: long non-coding RNA, 67 nt
Filed under: Chrysolophus pictus (golden pheasant)
Lineage: Eukaryota; Metazoa; Chordata; Aves; Galliformes; Phasianidae
Description: lncRNA (ENSCPIG00010002131.1)
Source: RNAcentral